GUGGGGAAUAUUGGACAAUGGGCGAAAGCCUGAUCCAGCCAUGCCGCGUGUGUGAAGAAGGUCUUCGGAUUGUAAAGCACUUUAAGUUGGGAGGAAGGGCAGUAAGUUAAUACCUUGCUGUUUUGACGUUACCGACAGAAUAAACACCGGCUAACUUCGUGCCAGCAGCCGCGGUAAUACGAAGGGUGCAAGCGUUAAUCGGAAUUACUGGGCGUAAAGCGCGCGUAGGUGGUUUUGUAAGUUGGAGGUGAAAUCCCCGGGCUCAACCUGGGAACUGCCUCCAAAACUGCAUGACUAGAGUACGGUAGAGGGUAGUGGAAUUUCCUGUGUAGCGGUGAAAUGCGUAGAUAUAGGAAGGAACACCAGUGGCGAAGGCGACUACCUGGACUGAUACUGACACUGAGGUGCGAAAGCGUGGGGAGCAAACAGGAUUAGAAACCCGUGUAGUCC
RNAcentral lists this ribosomal RNA (450 nucleotides) under uncultured bacterium. RNAcentral describes it as "partial 16S ribosomal RNA". It matches the Rfam family "Bacterial small subunit ribosomal RNA", at positions 354 to 796 of the family's 1533-position model. The record is from RNAcentral.